UACGGGGGGAGCAAGCGUUGUUCGGAUUUACUGGGCGUAAAGGGCGCGUAGGCGGCCAGCACAAGUCAGUUGUGAAAUCUCCGAGCUUAACUCGGAAAGGUCAACUGAUACUGUGCGGCUAGAGUGCGGAAGGGGCAACUGGAAUUCUUGGUGUAGCGGUGAAAUGCGUAGAUAUCGAGAGGAACACCAGUGGCGAAGGCGAGUCUCUGGACAUUUCCUGACGCUGAGGCACGAAAGCCAGGGGAGCAAACGGG
RNAcentral lists this ribosomal RNA (254 nucleotides) under uncultured bacterium. RNAcentral describes it as "partial 16S ribosomal RNA". It matches the Rfam family "Bacterial small subunit ribosomal RNA", at positions 524 to 776 of the family's 1533-position model. The record is from RNAcentral.